This 314-nucleotide unclassified non-coding RNA is filed under the name plant metagenome. RNAcentral describes it as "partial contains 5.8S ribosomal RNA, internal transcribed spacer 2, and large subunit ribosomal RNA". The stretch from base 1 to 105 matches the Rfam family "5.8S ribosomal RNA", at positions 50 to 154 of the family's 154-position model. The record is from RNAcentral.
GAAAUGCGAUAAUUAAUGUGAAUUGCAGAAUUCAGUGAGUCAUCGAGUCUUUGAACGCACAUUGUGCCCCCUGGUAUUCCGGGGGGCAUGCCUGUCCGAGCGUCAUUGCUGCCCUCAAGCACGGCUUGUGUGUUGGGCUUCCGUCCCUGGCAACGGGGACGGGCCCAAAAGGCAGUGGCGGCACCAUGUCUGGUCCUCGAGCGUAUGGGGCUUUGUCACCCGCUCCCGUAGGUCCAGCUGGCAGCUAGCCUCGCAACCAAUCUUUUUAACCAGGUUGACCUCGGAUCAGGUAGGGAUACCCGCUGAACUUAAGC